RNAcentral lists this ribosomal RNA (859 nucleotides) under uncultured bacterium. RNAcentral's name for it is "bacterial SSU rRNA". It matches the Rfam family "Bacterial small subunit ribosomal RNA", at positions 8 to 916 of the family's 1533-position model. The record is from RNAcentral.
AGAGUUUGAUCCUGGCUCAGAACGAACGCUGGCGGCAGGCUUAACACAUGCAAGUCGAACGCCCCGCAAGGGGAGUGGCAGACGGGUGAGUAACACGUGGGAACGUGCCCUAAGGUACGGAACAACUCCGGGAAACUGGAGCUAAUACCGUAUGUGCCCGAGAGGGGAAAGAUUUAUCGCCUUGGGAUCGGCCCGCGUCUGAUUAGCUAGUUGGUAGGGUAAUGGCCUACCAAGGCUACGAUCAGUAGCUGGUCUGAGAGGAUGGCCAGCCACACUGGGACUGAGACACGGCCCAGACUCCUACGGGAGGCAGCAGUGGGGAAUAUUGGACAAUGGGCGAAAGCCUGAUCCAGCCAUGCCGCGUGAGUGAUGAAGGCCUUAGGGUUGUAAAGCUCUUUCGCCAGGGACGAUAAUGACGGUACCUGGAUAAGAAGCCCCGGCUAACUUCGUGCCAGCAGCCGCGGUAAUACGAAGGGGGCUAGCGUUGUUCGGAAUUACUGGGCGUAAAGCGUAUGUAGGCGGAUCGUUAAGUCGGGGGUGAAAUCCCGAGGCUCAACCUCGGAACUGCCUUCGAUACUGGCGAUCUUCGAGUCCGGGAGAGGUGAGUGGAACUCCGAGUGUAGAGGUGAAAUUCGUAGAUAUUCGGAAGAACACCAGUGGCGAAGGCGGCUCACUGGCCCGGUACUGACGCUGAAAUACGAAAGCGUGGGGAGCAAACAGGAUUAGAUACCCUGUAGUCCACGCUGUAAACGAUGGGUGCUAGCCGUUGGGCAGCAUGCUGUUCGGUGGCGCAGCUAACGCAUUAAGCACCCCGCCUGGGGAGUACGAUCGCAAGAUUAAAACUCAAAGGAAUUGACGG